Molecule: long non-coding RNA, 915 nt
Filed under: Myripristis murdjan (pinecone soldierfish)
Lineage: Eukaryota; Metazoa; Chordata; Actinopteri; Holocentriformes; Holocentridae
Description: lncRNA (ENSMMDG00005011414.1)
Source: RNAcentral
CUGCUGAUAACAGCCAAUGCUACAGUAAGAUCACUUCUGCACCUGGAAAUGUUUUUCCCUCUGCAGAGUCAGCAGAGGUCAGAAGUCAAGAGUCUCAAAAUGAAGAUUAUGACACAUACCAUGUGUACAGCUCCAUCCUUGAGAAGCCAUCUGCAUCAUAAGAAGAUAUUAUAUGGCACUCUGAAGGCACACUGAAACGCAAACCAUGUUUUUCUUGAUAUACAUCAUUUAUGUUAUUAUAAUACAUGCUAGUCAGUUUGUUAAAUUAUUACACAUUUGAAGUGGGAAGGUUUUGAAUGAAAGAAAUACAAUAGGUGAAUAACUUUAUGUCAAAAACAUUAGAAAGACAUGGACACCUGAAUGGUACCUUUUGCAAUUAUUAUUUAUGUAAAGUGCUUUAACAAAAGACCAAAAAACAAACAAACAAAAAACAUAAGGGAUAAUGCCAAAAUGAUAUUGAGAGUAAAGAAAAAAAUAUGUUAAAGUGAUAAAAUAAGAAUAAGGGUAUUUAACUUAAUUCAUAAAAGAGUUUGCUGUCUUAAAGUUGUGGGGUGCCAGUUUCAAUAACUGGGGCCCUAUUGGAAAAAAGGCUUCAUUGCUUUUAGUUUUCACUAGAUAGUGUGGAACUCUCUCCUAUGUACAUAUUUUAGUGGACAGUGUUAAACUCUCCUUUUACACUUUAAACUUUGUAUUUUAUUUACAGUUUGCAUUAACUGGCUUGAUGCUCCGUUUACCACGCUAGUCUCUUGUGUUACAGAAUAUACUGUGUGAGGUUUGCUGCAGCACACAGGGCUUUUUAUAUUCACACUCUAUAAAUAUUUUGUUUAGUCAAAACAUGCAUCUUACUUUGAAUAUUUUCUGCUGUAAAACACUGAAGGAGAAACUGACAGAAUAAAGUAAGUUCAGCAUUUCUUU